This 91-nucleotide transfer RNA is filed under the name Nadsonia fulvescens var. elongata DSM 6958. It matches the Rfam family "tRNA". Rfam says of the family: Transfer RNA (tRNA) molecules are approximately 80 nucleotides in length. Their secondary structure includes four short double-helical elements and three loops (D, anti-codon, and T loops). Lineage: Eukaryota; Fungi; Ascomycota; Dipodascomycetes; Dipodascales. The record is from Rfam by way of RNAcentral.
GCUCCUUUAGCUCAGUUGGUAGAGCGUCAGUCUCAUAGACAUAUAAUUUCAGGUUAUCUGAAGGUCGAGAGUUCGAACCUCCCAGGGAGCA